AAUGCUAUGUCUGAUUUAAGUAAUAAAUUGUAAAUUUAUUUAAGGAAAAAUUAAUAAUUCCUAGCAUUA
This 69-nucleotide transfer RNA is filed under the name Pseudomyrmex feralis. Its description in RNAcentral is "tRNA-Tyr". Lineage: Eukaryota; Metazoa; Arthropoda; Insecta; Hymenoptera; Formicidae. The record is from RNAcentral.